AUGCCUACAAGCCUAGUUGGUGUAUUUAAAUUCUUCAAAUAUAUUAGGUGUGGUGGCGUUACCACCGGCUGUCCACUUGGGCAAAACCCUACCAGAGGCCAGAGGCUGUUGGACGCUGCUGCACAGCUCAUCCACCUCCUCGCAUCCGUCCAAGUCAACAUCUAUGUAGCGGACGUCUUGGAUCACGCUUGCAGCAUCAGGUAUUCCCUGCUUGCCGUUUCGUGUCUUUCCCGUGUGUUUCUUGGACUGAACUGUGCGUUCUUCAAAGUCAUUGCCGUUACCAGACGUGUGAAUGGCGGGGAAGCCCCUUCGCUUCUUCACGGCCUCAUUUUGCUCGUUACUGCCGCCGCUGCUGCUGCUUCUCUUGCUUCCGUUUGGAAAUUGGUUGAGAAACUCCUCUAUGGUUGCAAGUACACGAUCCCCGUACUUGUUGAGCUUCACCCUGAAAGUAUGUAA
This 456-nucleotide ribosomal RNA is filed under the name Triticum aestivum (bread wheat). RNAcentral describes it as "partial small subunit ribosomal RNA". Lineage: Eukaryota; Viridiplantae; Streptophyta; Magnoliopsida; Poales; Poaceae. The record is from RNAcentral.